Molecule: microRNA, 18 nt
Filed under: Callorhinchus milii (elephant shark)
Lineage: Eukaryota; Metazoa; Chordata; Chondrichthyes; Chimaeriformes; Callorhinchidae
Description: eshark_NOVEL_227
Source: RNAcentral
AAUUGUGUUUUGCUUUUU